Molecule: ribosomal RNA, 332 nt
Filed under: uncultured bacterium
Lineage: Bacteria
Description: bacterial SSU rRNA
Rfam family: Bacterial small subunit ribosomal RNA
Source: RNAcentral
CUGCAUGGCUGUCGUCAGCUCGUGCCGUGAGAUGUUGGGUUAAGUCCCGCAACGAGCGCAACCCUUUUCCUUAUUUGCCAGCGGGUUAAGCCGGGAACUUUAAGGAUACUGCCAGUGACAAACUGGAGGAAGGCGGGGACGACGUCAAGUCAUCAUGGCCCUUACGACCAGGGCUACACACGUGCUACAAUGGUAGGUACAGAGGGUUGCUGCACAGCGGUGUGAUGCUAAUCUCAAAAAGCCUAUCGUAGUCCGGAUUGGAGUCUGCGACUCGACUCCAUGAAGUCGGAAUCGCUAGUAAUCGCAGAUCAGAAUGCUGCGGUGAAUACGUU